GGGCCCGCACAAGCGGUGGAGUAUGUGGUUUAAUUCGAUGCAACGCGAAAAACCUUACCUACACUUGACAUACUUCGAAUUUUCUAGAGAUAGAUUAGUGCCUUAGGGAACGAAGAUACAGGUGCUGCAUGGCUGUCGUCAGCUCGUGUCGUGAGAUGUUGGGUUAAGUCCUAUAACGAGCGCAACCCUCACCCUUAUUUGCCAGCGGUUAGGCCGGGAACUAUAAGGGAACUGCCGGUAAUAAGCCGGAGGAAGGUGGGGACGACGUCAAGUCAUCAUGGCCCUUACGUGUAGGGCUACACACGUGCUACAAUGGGAGAUACAAACGGUUGCCAAAGCGCGAGCUGGAGCCAAUCCGAUAAAGUCUCUCGUAGUCCGAAUUGCAGUCUGGAACUCGACUGCAUGAAGCCGGAAUCGCUAGUAAUCGCGGAU
This 432-nucleotide ribosomal RNA is filed under the name uncultured bacterium. RNAcentral describes it as "bacterial SSU rRNA". It matches the Rfam family "Bacterial small subunit ribosomal RNA", at positions 917 to 1349 of the family's 1533-position model. The record is from RNAcentral.